Molecule: long non-coding RNA, 567 nt
Organism: Sorghum bicolor (sorghum)
Lineage: Eukaryota; Viridiplantae; Streptophyta; Magnoliopsida; Poales; Poaceae
Exons: 2
Source: RefSeq, a predicted model, not a curated record
CCCUGAUUCACCUGCCCCUUCCUCCUCAGCUCUAGCUCCAGUACCACGAGAUGGUAACAAAGAAUCCAAGAGUUUUGUCUUAUCUGCAAAGAACAGUGCAAGUAGACUGAAUGAGGAAACAUAUCCCAAUAUAUUGCUAGAAGCAUUGCUUGGAAAUUCAAACAGAUCAGAAGCAAGAUUAAGUCCUGGGUAAAGAAUAAGGCUGGCCUAGAGAAACUCGUUGAAAAUUGCAAUGGCAACAGAGGUUCAGGCAAAACACAAUUGCACAUCUCCAGAGCAUGGGUGGGAGGACAAUUGUGGAUCAUGAAGAAAAAAGGUUCUCUGUUUUGGCGAGAAUUCAAGGCUAAACUAGGUUUUUCAACUGAGAGAAAUGCUCUUUGAUCUUAAUCAUCUCUUUGAAGGACUUAGGGUUCUUACAGAAGUACAGAACUAAUGUUACCUUUCCAGAACAGCCUCUAAUGAACUUCUACUUCUUAAAGAUGACUUAGAAGAAAUUAGAAAUCAAGCAACAAAAUGUUAUUAAGAGUCUGUUGAUUUAAACAAGACGUCGAGAUGCGACUACGCAAA